Long non-coding RNA from Helianthus annuus (common sunflower), 137 nucleotides. RefSeq lists it as uncharacterized. The record is from RefSeq and is a predicted model, not a curated record. Lineage: Eukaryota; Viridiplantae; Streptophyta; Magnoliopsida; Asterales; Asteraceae. The transcript is spliced from 3 exons.
GAGUCUAUGCCCUUCAUAGAGGCUUUGCGAUAGUUAUAUUUCUCAAAAGGACCAGAUAAUUUCUGCCUUAUUCAUGUUAGCCUCGUGCCUGUGCUCGGUGUCGUUGAGGAACAGAAAACAAAACCUACACAACACAA